ACUAACAAGGAAAAAAUAAAUGUGUUGUCACGAAGGAAUGUGAGCUAAACGCACAUAUGGUCUAUUUGCAUGCGUCGCAUAGCACGUAAUAAAUGUACGUUUAGGGGUGAUAGGCUUUUCAAACGUUCCUAUAACUUGUUUCAUAUGAAAAGUAUUAAGUACCUAAACAAAUUUAAAAAGUUAAGCUUUUAAAUAACUAUUAAAGAUAUUAUCCCCCUUGUAGUGUAGUUUAAUAGCUAUCUACAUAAUAACUUAAUAUAAAGUAUAAUAGUUUAUAUUUUAUAAUAUGACGUUAACAAUUUUGUUUAAUAUUUGAAAAUGUUAGUAUUAGUAAUAUUAGUAUAUGUGCUAAAGGAACUCGGCAAAAAACCACUCAACUGUUUAUCAAAAACAUAGCUAUAUGAAUUAAUAUAUAGUUAUUUCUGCUCAAUGACUUAAAUAGCCGCAGUACUCUGACUGUGCAAAGGUAGCAUAAUCAGUUGGCUUUUAAUUAGAGUCUGGUAUGAACGAAAAUAUGGGUAGUAACUGUCUUAGCACAUUUUUCCGAACUUAUUAAACAAGUGCAAAUGCUUGUAAUUUAACAAUAGACGAGAAGACCCUAGAAACUUGGACAAGUUUUUGUUGGGGCGACAGAAUUACAUUUAACUAAUCUUAUAAUACACGACGCGAUGUUGAAAGAAUAAGUUACUCUAGGGAUAACAGCAUAAUUUCAUUAGUUUGUGACCUCGAUGUUGGACUAGGUACUAUACCCUUAAGGCAAGGAUAUAUUAUGCUCUGUUCGAGCAAAAUUACCUACAUGAUCUGAGUUCAGACCGG
This 816-nucleotide ribosomal RNA is filed under the name Helix pomatia (Roman snail). RNAcentral describes it as "partial large subunit ribosomal RNA". Lineage: Eukaryota; Metazoa; Mollusca; Gastropoda; Stylommatophora; Helicidae. The record is from RNAcentral.